AGCAUUUUACUUCCGCUCGGUCUAUGAGGACUGAUGAAAUGUAGGAAAUCUGUUUCUGGCAGGGAGAAAAAAUCGUUUUCCCAAACAGCACUAAAAGGAGCCAUCAGAGAAGUAUGAAGAGGGGUAGUGUGGCUGUAGCUGCUGCCGCUGCCGCCAGGCUGGUGGGGUGCGGGGAGCGGCUGCUGCAGGACCUGUGCCUGGAGGGGGCCAGCCCCGAGAAGCUGCAGGAGCCCAGCCUGGAGCCCAAGCGCCUCUGAGAGCCGCCACCAGCCCAGCUCGGGACGCCGGGGUGAGCACGACUGGCUGGCCCAGUUCUGCGCCAACGCUGCCGCAGCGUGCGCGCUCUGCAGCCGGGGCUCACGGGAGCCCCUGCCUGUCUGCUGCACCCGGGGCGGCGGGGGAGGGGAGAGGUCAUUAAAAAAUAACCUCAGGAACGAGGCGGGUAAGAGUGAAGAGCCGCGGACAGUUGGACAGGCUCUUUCUCUAAGAGUGGGUAUUCACUGCAGGGGGUGACUUUCUGAUUCCCUGGAAACAACCAUGUGUUCCUUAUCCCUAUUGUGGAACACCCCAGAUGACCGCAGCACGUAUUACAAGUGGAUAAAUAAUGUGCACUGCUCUGAGCCCAAAGGUACGCAGUGGACCUGGCCUCUCUGAUAUGCAUCAGUAUAGCCAAUGGCUAGCCAGCAGACAUGAAGCUAAUUUGCUACCAAUGAAAGAAGAUCUGGCCUUGUGGUUAACCAAUCUAUUAGGGAAGGAGAUUACAGCAGAAACUUUUAUGGAGAAGUUGGACAAUGGUGCCUUGCUCUGUCAACUUGCAGAAACUGUGCAGGAGAAAUUCAAGGAGAGCAUGGAUGCUAACAAGCCCACAAAGAAUCUACCAUUGAAGAAGAUCCCAUGCAAAGCCAGUGCACCCUCGGGCUCCUUUUUUGCCCGAGACAAUACAGCAAAUUUCUUAUCCUGGUGCCGAGAUUUAGGGGUGGAUGAAACGUGUCUAUUUGAAUCGGAAGGUUUGGUCCUCCACAAGCAACCCAGAGAAGUGUGUCUCUGUCUGCUAGAGCUUGGCCGGAUUGCAGCCAGGUAUGGUGUGGAGCCUCCUGGUUUGAUAAAGCUGGAAAAAGAGAUUGAACAAGAAGAAACACUUUCUGCCCCUUCUCCUUCACCUUCUCCUUCAUCAAAGUCUUCUGGAAAAAAGAGUACAGGAAACUUACUGGAUGAUGCAGUGAAACGAAUUUCUGAAGAUCCUCCUUGCAAAUGCCCAAACAAGUUCUGUGUGGAGCGGCUCUCCCAAGGAAGAUACCGAGUGGGAGAAAAGAUCCUCUUCAUUAGGAUGGGGAAACUGAGACACUGAGGUUAAGUAACUUCUCAAAGUUCUAAGGUGAAAAAAUAAAGUCUUAGAGAAGUUCUUAAACCAUAUAGACAUUUGGCAUGUCAUUUUAUGCUGCACAACAAACAUGUCAUGGUCCGUGUGGGAGGAGGCUGGGAAACUUUUGCAGGGUAUUUGUUGAAACACGACCCCUGCCGAAUGCUGCAGAUCUCCCGUGUGGAUGGCAAAACAUCCCCUAUCCAAAGCAAAUCUCCAACUCUAAAGGACAUGAAUCCAGAUAACUACUUGGUGGUCUCUGCCAAUUAUAAGGCUAAGAAGGAAAUUAAGUGAAACAAAUUGGUCACAAGGGGACCCUCAUAAUGGCCUGUAUCCACUUCUCCAGUAUAGUCAGUUUAGUUCACAUAUUCUGAAAACUGUUUUGGAGAAAGAUUUAACAGACAGAAAAAUGUCAUCAUAUUGAAAAAUGUUCAAAGAGUAGCACUAUUUAUUUUUAAUGCUUCUGUAGAAUAUGACCUAUUAAAAGGAAUUCUAAAUUCAAAUUUAAAUUAGCCAAAUUUUAGGCAAAUUAUUAUUUCUCAGUAUGCAAACACAGUAUUUAGAACACAAUAUUAGAAACAGAAUUCUAACUAAAGAUAAAUAAGGAGAAAACAUUUAGGAUUUGCAGAUAAGUCAACAGAAAGUGCCUGCUUAACAUCCAUGAGUAAAGCACCCCAGACAUUUUUAUAAUUGCAAGAUUUUUAUGCUUUUUUUUUUUUUUUUUUUUUACAAAAUGAUGAUUAGUGUGAUAAUGUGCUACAAAAAAUACCCAACAGCACUACAAAUAAGUACAGAGUAUUCACAAUAGUAAUAUGUUACCGGGAAGGCCACUUCAGAAAAGUUUACAUUCACUUGAAAGGCUGCCUUAAAGUAUAUCUCUUAUCUACGACCAAAUAUCUGGGGUACUUUUAGAAGUUUUCAGUACACCCCCUUAGAGAAUAGCUUAUGAGUUAUUUCACACAUUCCUGAGCACAUGGCUGUGUUUAGAAUGAUCUAGUGUAAUUCAUACAUGAGCUGACAUACGUUGAUAUUUUGACGAGUAAAUUGUACAGUCAAAUAUUCAUUGAUUUCAUGUUAUUUCAAAGCAUUUUCUUAUUAAAAACAUAUCUUUAGUUAAUCCUAUUUUGCUAUGCUUUCUAGUAAAGUAAAUUCACUGUAGCUAAUGAUGUUACAGACUUACGUAUACCCUUGUAUACCUGGGACAGGGCUGUUUUAUACCAAUAAACAGCAAAAUAUUGUCCUUACUCAUUCAAGAAUUAAAAGGAUAAAGUUUAAAAA
This is an RNA transcript of Nomascus leucogenys (northern white-cheeked gibbon), 2638 nucleotides long. It is a transcript of the gene named growth arrest specific 2, with no coding region annotated. The record is from RefSeq and is a predicted model, not a curated record. The transcript has 11 exons. NCBI's taxonomy places the organism in Eukaryota, Metazoa, Chordata, Mammalia, Primates, Hylobatidae.